Molecule: long non-coding RNA, 1977 nt
Filed under: Musa acuminata (dwarf banana)
Lineage: Eukaryota; Viridiplantae; Streptophyta; Magnoliopsida; Zingiberales; Musaceae
Description: long non-coding RNA (MACU_LNC007497)
Source: RNAcentral
UCUAUAGUCACAGGUUCCCUUGCAGCUUCCCUUCGAACAGCGGAUUCUCUAGUUACCCACUUACUUCGAACAGCGGAUUCUCUAGUUAACCCACUUAAUAUAUAAUGUAAGUUAAUAAACACUCCACUGUCAAAACCACUUGCUGCUGACGAUUUCACUCUAACUCAAACAACACUUUCUUUCCUUCCCGCUUCGGCUUCCCCACCGGAUCCUGUUCCAUAAGAUUCUUCUUCACAACACUCUUCUGCUUCUAUAGACUUCGAUACUGAAUCAUCACUUACGGACCGCUUCACUGAUUGAUUGCCUCUCUAUACGACAAGGAGCCUAAGACGACUUGACUUUUAUACCCUACCCCGCACAGCAUCUUCUUGAGUCGAUUCAAUUCCACCAUCUUCGCUCUGUUUGUUUACGCUAUUCUAUAAGUGGUGGUACACUCUCUUCACAAUCCGCAAGCAAGCACGAAAGCCUUAGUGAUUAAAGCUUAAAGUCAGCUGUAAGGUGAGGUUACUAAUAUGGAGGAAGUGCAUUCAAUUAAUAAUCAUCCAGAAUCAAGGGAGCGGGGUGCUAACGUGAGAAAGAACAUUCCACUUAUUAUUCCGUUGCGUGCUGGGCAGAGUAAAUAGCAGCCUAAGUACUAAUGGGAGUUUGCAAGGAACAAGGAAGCAAGAAAACAACGAACGAACUUAUAAUGCGGAAAACAGACGUUGCUUCUUCAUUAUACUAAGUUUGUUUGUUUCAGGGGUGCCUACGCCUAUGUCCUGAAUGUAUAGGGCUGUCUACAGUCGAUUAUUUAGAGUCUGAAGGAUUACUAGUUUCUAUAUAAUAGUGAGUGAUUGAAAUUCUGUAUUGGCAAGGGAACAGGCAAACUAGUCCACUAGUGAAAUACUUUCUUUAGAAUAUGCUAACUAUAUGCUUCAAGUAGAAUAUGCUAACUAGAUUCUUAAAGCAACUUCGGGUUACCUCUUUUCGACAAGCAAGGGAAGUGAACAAACAAGCUUAGGGUAUCGUAGAUGGAAAGCCUAAGUGCUGACGUUUCGGUGUUGUAGGUUCGCUUUUGGGGUGCCUUAGCAUACUUCUCCUUUGGCGGCCCCGGGCAAUAAGUAUGGAAAGGUGCGCUUACUGAUCUGUUGUAAGCGUUUACGUGAGUUUGUUUGCCGUAAUAAACAACGACGAAAGCAAGCGUAUAAAGUCAAAGUGCUGUAGGAGUAGUUAAGCGAGUAACGGAGCGGAGAGUUAGAGUUUAGUUACACCUAUGUUAAACUAUGCUCAUGGAAACACUUAUAUAUAGAGAAUAGAUGUUGGACAGUAGCCACUACGUGGGGAAAGAUUGUCAAACAAACAGCUUACUCUCAUAUCAGUGAAACUAAGUAGCCGUGUCUCUCGGGGGGAAAGAUUCUCAAACGAGACUACAUCUCCCUCGCUUCACCACCCUAUGCCUCUGUCUCUGUCCUGCAAGUGAACAUCCGCCUCUGUCCUUUAAUAAAAGAGAAAUCAUUUGAACAAGUAAUGGCUUAACCGCUUAUUCAGUUUCAUGGGUGCUGGAGCUUAUGGGUGUUUCGGGGUGCUCUAACGAUUAUUCAGUUUCCGGGGUGCAUUAGUUAGUUAGCUUACUUUACCUUUAGCUUACUUUUAUAGGGGUCGGGGUGCCGAUAUUCAUUCUUAUAGCUUUGUGCCUCCAUUCAAUGGAUAUGCAGUUGUUUAAUGACCCUAUAUAGAUAUGUAGUGCUCCAAAGAAUCAAUUUGACUUGACUUACACUGGCCUACUCUCUUUACUUACCAGUUAAUGCUCAAGCGCUAUCGUCGUCAGUGGAGUUAUGAGUUAUGCUUACGUGGGUUCGUAUAUAAGAACAUAAUAAGAGUGAUAUAGAUGCUCUAAAAUGAAUAAGUAAUUAGAGAGGAAGCCCGCGCUAUAGCUAUAGUAAUUCGCUAACGCACAAGGGCUAGCCAAGCAACGGCCAAGCGUAUACGUCAGUUGCU